AAAUGCUUAUCAGCCUUUUGACUUUGUGCCAAAAUAGCUGCAAGGGUUCAGCUGCGGCGUUCGGCUUCACUUUUUGUGACAGAGCUGGAGAGGAGGAGGAGGAGGAGGAGGAGGAGGGUCCUAACCUAGUGCGUUCUUUGCACACAUGUUACUGAAAUAAACACUGCUGGUGGUGGAAGCUUAUCUUUUUCCUGUGUGUGUGUGUGUCUAAUUCUGUGCAUUCACGCCAGUCCACCGUGGCAUGCUUAAAGAGUUAAUGCACUCUCAGAGAGUGCGUUUUUUUUUCUUUUUUCCAGAGCGUGGCUCCCCCUAAGACUGUUUGCAGCGAGCGACAUGAGCUCCUACUACAGUAAGAGAUAAGGUUAAUAAUUCAACCCCCGGCUCUCAGAACUGUUGCAUAUUUCAAGGAUCCUUCAGCAGCGCCGUCCCAUUCUCUCUCUCUCUCUCUCUCUCCUCGCUUUUCUUUUCAUUAGCUGAUAUAGUAGCUGAGGUACUGUAUAGUGUAUCCCAGUAUGGCGUGUAAAGUGUGCGGACUGCGUCUGCGCGCUGCCGGAGGAGUGGAUUUCUGUGUCAUUCUUCCUCCUCCACCCCUCCCCACGUUUAGUGCUUUCCACCCUCCCACUCUCUCGCUCUCUCUCUCUCUUUCUGUUUCUCCGUCUCUCACCCAUCUUAUGCUCCCUCCUUCUCUCUCCCCCCCCCCACCACCUCCCCCGCCUCCUCUUCUCCGUCUCCAGUGCAAAUACAGUUUUCCUUGCCGUGUUGGACAUGUGAUGGAAAAGUGACUGGUUCGCGCGCUCCGCCGCACCUCCUAUUUCAUCAUCAGCGGAGCAUUUCUCCCUCUUCACUGUGCGUUUGCUGUCUCCUCCUCUCUCUCUCUCUCUCUCUCUUUCUCUCUCUCCCUCUCUCUCUCUUCUUUUUCUCUCUCUGUUUCGCUUGCACCCCUCUUUCUGCUCCAGCCACACGCAAGGGGGAGACUUAAGCUCUGCGAGGGGAGGAAAGAGAAAAAAAGAAAAAGUCUGCUGCUAUUUCUACAGUCAGGGCCUCCCCACAGCCCGCCCUUCCAUAGACGGAGCUUCUUUUUCUUUUUUUUUUGCACUCCACUACUAGCUGGAUUUUAACCCUCUGCCUCCAACUAGCUGCACAGCAGCUCUGCAAAAACCUGGCAACAAGUUGCUUUUUUUAGGGGCCUUUUUUCCACUUUGGGUGCGUUGAUUUUUUUUUUUUGCAUCACUUUGGAUUUUGCCGCUUUUUCCUUCUGUAAAAAUGUACCGCUCGCUAUUUUUCUUUCUUUCUUUUUUCUUUUUUGCUCUGCUGAUGGGUUUCUAGUAGUAUUUUCAUUUUAAGUUUCUCGCUUUAUUUUAUUUCUUUUUUCUUUUUCUUUUUUUGGGAUGGAAAUUCAUCAAGGUGGUGUUUUUUUUCGCCAUGUGAUGGGGCCUUGUUCCACCUGGAGUGCCGGGGCGCCAUUUCUGACGGGUAACCUGCUUGCGGUGGGGGGCUCGUGGUUUUUUUUUUUUUUUUUUUUUUUUUUUUUUUUGGAUGACCACUGUGGAUGACAAGCAGAGAAUGUGAACCAGUAUCUGAGCGUGGUACACACAUCUGUGUUUUUUUAGAAACCAUGUCCUUCAUCAGCGCCAGCAACUGGCGUGAAGUACCGCACCUCCUUCGUCUUUACUGUCUGUCUCUCCCUCUAUUUCCUUCCCAUGUCCUCUCUCUCUCUCCUCUCUCUCUCCCUCUCUCUGUCUCUCGCUCUCCCCUUGUUCUCUCUCUUUCACACCGACUCGCUCUCCUAACAGGGGAGUGAGUGGUGUGCUGAGCCGGAGCUCUUUCUGGGACAGGUGCCAACUGCAAACAAAAGACAUUAAAAGGCAAUAAGAGAGAAAAAUUGUAAUUGCGAAAUUUCAAAUUGUUUGCGGCGGAAUGUCAUGAGUAGCCCUUGCAUGUUGUGUCUCUACAUGGCCAGUUUGUGCUAUUAUUAUAUGUUUUGUAUGAAGUAUUUAAAAAAAAAAAAACCCGACCAAGGCCGUUGGUUUGAAUUGAGGUUUGAAUACUUUGCCACACUUAUUCUAGUGAAGGCAUUUCAUUCGGGGAGAGGGAGGGAGUAAUGUGGGAGAGCAGCAUAUAGACUGCUGAAUUAUUCAUGUGCCCAGCUAAAGGCUGUGACUGGACUGGUUGUGCUAUUUGCAUGCAUCAGACAUGCUGUUUGUCUGUUUGCUAACAUUCCUCAUUCAAAGACUUCUUAACCAGCAGACGGCUUAGCUGGAGCCUUGCAGACAGCCUCAUGGCCUCCUAUUGUUUCAGGCCUCACCAGACCUGGACGCAGCCGGGUUGGCAGGCGAGAGCUUGUGCAGCACUGAAGCUUUGGGGGCCCAGACUGUGGCUGGAAGAGAGAGAGAGAGAGAGAGAGAGAGAGCCAUGGAGCUGAGAUUGAGGCUUGUAACUCUUGUGAGGCAGAGGCUCAGCUGUGAAGGGCACAGUCUGAAGGGAAAUCACUGGGCCUUUUGCAAGAAGCACCAAAAAAAAAACGGGAGCUUAUGGCUUUCUCCUCCUUCUUGACAGAGAUGUGGAUCAGAGAAGGAAGAGCUGCAGAAUUUUGCAUCUCCGACCGGACUUGCUCUGAAAUAUGGGCAGUGUGAUGUGUUUUGACUUCAGCCACAGGCACAAACAAUUUGGCCAACAAGUGAAAUCACGGACAGACAGACAGACUGGCGAUCGCAGCAGCAACACGAAGGCUACCUGACGUGCUACUGAAACCCGUGAUGGAGGUAGGAGGCGAUAUGUCAGCGACCCCACCCCCACCCUCUUUUUCUUUUUCUUUUUUUUUUCGCUGCGUGCUACAGAGCAGGUGAGAAACAUUAACAGCGGCAGCAGCUGCGGCCCUCUGCUCUGCACAUGUGGGCCAGGAUAUGAGCUAGCUCGAGCUCGCCCACUGUCAACACUGGUCACUAAUGUUAACACUCUCCUCUCUGAAGCACUCAAACAGUACUGAGAGAGGAGGGGAAAGUGGAAUCAGUGCAGAUUGUUAUGUAAUUAUUUUUUAUUUUUUUUACAAUCGCUGUGAUCGGUAAUGGUUUUUAGCUGCAGAGCUGUGGUACCUCUCAAGCAUUUUCAAAGUAAUGUGACCACAUGUUAUAUGGUGCAUACGAGUUGUACAUUGCACCUCAACCAAAGAGUUGUUUUGAAUUUUUCUGAUGAGGUCAACCAACCCUAUAGCAUGACGACUGCCUCAUUUGCCGCCAUCAUCUACGAUCUGGCUGUUUCGAAACACUAUUUAAAGAGCAGAACAGUUUAGAGGUCAGACCAUUUUCCGUAAAAAAUGGAUGUCACCCCAUACUAUAUGUUAUUUACUGGUCACAUUUGACUAUGGAAAUAUCACGGCAGUACGAUUUGUUUGGGACCUAUGCGCCUUGUUGAAUCAUUUGAAUUCUUCCCCUCCACCCCGCCUCAGCUCAGUGCCAUGAACCGAGUGACCCAGUCGUCGUCACACUGUGUUCUCAACACACAGAUUCCUGUCACGCCGGUGAGGUGUCCCGGCGGGGAGGAGAGAGUGGCAUGUGUAUUUGUGUUUCUGUGAAUCAUAACCACUGUUUUGUAUUUAGUGAGGUGUGUCGAAGCGGAUUACCUGCAUGAAUGGGGGACCUGAAACAACUUUUGUUUUUAAAAGACUGUCCUUUGGGGUGAGGUAGUAGGUUGUAUAGUUUUAGGGUUAUACCCUUCCUGUCAGAUAACUAUACAACUUACUGUCUUUCCUGAAGUGGCUGUAAUGUCGUCAGAUGCCGUUGUCGGAAGUUGUUUUUUUUGGAUCUGGAUCAACACUGGAAUGCGUGUAUGUUUACCCACUGACUGCUAAGAUAACAUAACUCAUCGAGGUAGGUCAUUGUAGAUGCUUUAGGUAGUUUUCCAUCUCGUCACUUCAAGACUUUGUAGUCAAUAAAAAUGUCUUUUGAUCAGAAGUGUUUUGCUUGUUGUUUUUCUACCAUAUGCUUCAUAUUUCAUCAGACACUGUAUAUCAUGUAAACUUUUACACAAAUCUACUUUCAUCUAAUUGUCUUUCCUCUUUCCUCAGCACUAAUUAAUGUGAUUUUUCUCGUAUGGUUAUCGCCGGACUGCUUGUGAUUAGUAUUUCAGAAAUUAAGUCGACUUAUAUGAUAGGAGAGAUGUUGAAGAUGUGUGAAAAUGUACUGGUGUUUAUAGGUGACUCCACUAUAACGCUCUCCGAAGCUCGCCAGCCCGUAGGACCUUUCUGAUGUUCGAACGGGGUGAGGUAGUAGGUUGUGUGGUUUCAGGGUAGUGAUUUUGCCCAAUCAGGAGAUAACUAUACAACCUACUGCCUUCCCUGGAGGGCAGCAAUACUUCGCCAUGCAGACAACACAGAAAAGCUCCCAAAAUCAACAAACCGAACCAGGUCAACGGUCUGAGCCCUGGCCCUGAGCCCACCAGUCCGCUUCUUACCCGUAACGUGGGCGUUCGCAGCAGCAGAGAGGACCAGCAGGUAAAGUCUGUUCAAUGUGAGAUUUGUCGUGGAUUUUUUUUUCUGUUACAAACUUCAAUAAAAAAAUAAAAAUAAAACGA
Long non-coding RNA from Larimichthys crocea (large yellow croaker), 4569 nucleotides. RefSeq lists it as uncharacterized. Lineage: Eukaryota; Metazoa; Chordata; Actinopteri; Sciaenidae. The record is from RefSeq and is a predicted model, not a curated record. The transcript is spliced from 3 exons.